GUCCACGCCGUAAACGAUGGGCACUAGGUGUUCGGGGUUUUGACCCCCUGAGUGCCGCAGCUAACGCAUUAAGUGCCCCGCCUGGGGACUACGGCCGCAAGGCUAAAACUCAAAGGAAUUGACGGGGGCCCGCACAAGCGGUGGAGCAUGUGGUUUAAUUCGACGCAACGCGAAGAACCUUACCUGGGCUAGACGACAUCGGACAGCCUCAGAAAUGAGGUCUUCCCGCAAGGGACCGGUGGUUCAGGUGCUGCAUGGCUGUCGU
RNAcentral lists this ribosomal RNA (265 nucleotides) under uncultured bacterium. RNAcentral describes it as "partial 16S ribosomal RNA". It matches the Rfam family "Bacterial small subunit ribosomal RNA", at positions 793 to 1055 of the family's 1533-position model. The record is from RNAcentral.